Molecule: ribosomal RNA, 554 nt
Filed under: uncultured archaeon
Lineage: Archaea
Description: bacterial SSU rRNA
Rfam family: Archaeal small subunit ribosomal RNA
Source: RNAcentral
GGGGGUGCACCAGGAUUCGAAUUCUCUGCAAUAUGUGAAAGCUUGAUCGGGUUACUCUGAAUGAUUUCCGUUAAGGAGAUCUUUUGGCACAUCUAAAAAUGAUGCAAAAUAAGGGGUGGGCAAGUCUGGGGUCAGCCGCCGCGGUAAUACCAGCACCACUCAGUGGUCGGGACGUUUAUUGGGCCUAAAGCAACCUGUAUUCGGUUCUACGACUCUUCCGUUAAAUCCCACUGCUUAACAAGUGGGUUGCAGAAUAUACUAUAGAGCUCUGAGGAGGUAGAGGCAACCGGUACUCGAUGGGUAGGGGUAAAAUCCGUUGAUCCAUUGAACACCACCACUGGCGAAAGUUGCUUGCCACAAUGCGCUCUAUUGUGAGGGAUGAAACCUGGAGGAGCAUACCUGAUUAAAUACCCGGGUAGUCCCAGCUGUAAACCAUGCACACACGGUGAUGAGUUGGCUAUAUGCAAUCUCAAUGCCACAGGGAAGCCAUUAACUUUGCCGCCCGGAGAUUACGGGCGCAACACUGAAACUUAAAGGAAUUGUCGGGCGAGCAC